This 152-nucleotide non-coding RNA is filed under the name Burkholderia sp. YR290. Lineage: Bacteria; Pseudomonadati; Pseudomonadota; Betaproteobacteria; Burkholderiales; Burkholderiaceae. The record is from RNAcentral.
CCGGCUGUUCCAUCAGUCGUUUCCUACCUGGACAUGCGGAGCCGGUGACAGCUCGGUGUGGAGCUCUGGGGACAAUGUAACCACACCGAUAUAUUUCGGUACGCGGAACCGUGGGGGAAAGCGGAUCUGCCAGCACAAGGGCGGUGGGGGAC